ACAGCAGAGAGUUCGUAGGUCAGCAUGGGGCCUACAGACACUGCUGUGGGCCUCCCUGCCCCCCUCAUCACCUCACCCAGUCCCUAGCCCCAAAUGCACCCCUUAGUCACUUAAGCCACCAAUGAGCAUACCUGGAGCCCCCAAGGCCGCGCACUGCCUCUUCCCACCCUACACUCCAUCCCCAGACUUUUUCUUCCUUCUGCACCUGAACACUACCCCUCCUGAGGGAGCCCUGAGAUCCCCACUCUGUUCUCCCAGGGCCCUGUGUGCCCAGGCUCCCAGGAAAACUGCCCCAUGUGGGGACAGGGACCAGGAGCUGGAAGGAGAACAAGAUAAGACCUGUGAGCAGCCAGACAAGAGCAGUGCAGAAGGGGCUGGGGAGAUAGCUCAGUAGAAUAAGCACUUGCCUGGCAAGUGCAAGGGCCUAAGUUCAAUCCCUGGUACUAGGGGGGAAAAAAACAAAACAAAACAGUGCAGGGCCCGGGAAUGUAUGCUCCAGCAUGGGGCAGCAGGCCUGAUGCUAAACCCACCAUGUUCCUGGCCCAGCACAGAACCACGAGCAGGCCCUGUGCCCUCUUACAGCCUUGGGCCAGUCUGGUUGUUAACAUCAUAAACCUCAAAGCUAUGCUCCUGGAUUCGAACACCUGCUUGUCUACUGGUGUGUGGCCUCAAACAAGCAAUUUCUCUCUGCUGCAGUUUCCUCAGGUAUAAAAUCCAUAAAACACUAAUAAUAACAAAGCCAGGUGCUUCAGGGAGGACUGCACAAGUUAACACACAGCAAGCAGUCAAACCACUGCGCAGACAGCGGCUGGACACCCACGUUAGCUGCCACCUAGCAGCUGUCCAGGUGGGGCUGCCAGCUAGAAAGGCAGUUAGUCUAUCCGCCUAUGAGAAAGAGCAACACAGCAGGUACACAGCAGCUCGGGGCUGUCCAGGACCCCCAGGUAGUGAGGUUUCCUUGCCCGUGGUGUCAGCGGGGAUGUCAGAGCUCCGGGGUGCUGAGUGUGAGCCAUGGAAGCCCCUCACAAUCCUUUUCCAGCUCCCUAGAGCUGGGCUUAGUGGGAAGCCCUGGACAGGACGCCCUGCCCUCCCAGCCUGCCCAAAGUCCUUACCAUGUGCAGGGCACGACCACCUCCCCAGUGCUAUGGGCUCUCGAGUCAGUGGGAGAUGGGCAGGUGGCACUCUCUUGCCCUGGAAGCCGUGGGAUACUGAACACUAAGGGUGCCGAGGUCACUUGCAAGGGUAGUGGGCUGGGGAGCCUGUCCGAUUCCCACCACCAGCCUUUGGGGUCCUGGUCCCAUGCUGUUCUCCACACCUGUGUCUUUUGCCCUCCUCCCAUCCUUUUCCAACACCAGUGCUCCUCUUGGGUUCCCACCUGCACUUAGGGCCCUGGGAAGGGCCUGGCUGGGAGGCUGGAGCCGAGUGCCCUCCCCUGGGCUGGGCACCGGCGCUCUGCCACUGUGCCCUGCAGAGGUCUGAGUCUGGAAUGCACAGGCGCCUGGCCAGGGCUGGACGGAAGUCACUAGGUGUCCCAAGGGUAUUCCUGCCUGGUCAUGGGGCCCAACCAGUGCCAAAUCCAGAGCCCUGGAGACUUAAUGACAGGAAACAAGGAGGAGGAGGAGCCGGGAGGAGAGGAAGGGCAGGAAUGCUACCGGGCCAGCCCCUGUGUUGGAACAAACAGUGCCGAGGAGGCUAACACUUGUUGUUAUUCAUUUCCAAGUGCCAGGCCGCCCCCAGCCUGCCCCAGCUCCCUUGGCGCCCGCAGCUGAAGCUGCAGCACCGGCUCCCUUCCUGGUAUUAUUUUGACCUGGGAGGGCACAUCAGGAGGGGGUGACGGAUCAUGUGGCUGUGAUGGUCACUUCCUGACCUACCCUGAGGAUGAGCACAGGGCCAGAGAGUGUCCUUGUCCCCAACUCACGCACUGCACGACAUGCAAAAGCUGAAGACUGAACCUAAAGGCGUCUCUCACUUCCCAAAGGAAUGCAGGUGCCUGGAGAACUGAAGUUACUUAAGGUGCCUGCCGCGCUGCUGGCCUUGGGAGCAGGAGUUUGCAUCACUGUUCAUAUCGGGGGGGAGGGUCAGAGAUUACAUAACCUCCAGCUGGCAGAGAGAAAUCACAUUGCCUGCGUGGACUCCAAGCCCAUGUAGGCCCUUAGCACUGUGCCCCUCACCACGGUGCCCCCCUGCCCCCCUCGCCCCACGUGUAUUCUGCCCUUAGGAACGUCCUGUGGCAGCAGGUACACAGGCUGGCGGUCACAACUCCUCUUUCCCCUGCAGUCUUCCAGGGAAUGGAAGCCUCUGGGAUGAGGCAGGAAUUGGGCUACUUCAGGGGUCAAAUGUGUAGAUUUGGAUAGGACACCUCAGUUCACACGCUGGCUCUCUAGUUAACACCUGCUCCUACGGCCUUGUGUUGCUUGUCUGCCCCUGCAAUGCCUGCACUUCCUAAUCUGUAAGGUGGGGCUGAUGUGAUGACGGCAGGCCUCCCAAGGACCGUUGCGAGGAUCGGAUGAGCUAGUGGAAGGCACACAGAGCGGGGCCCACCACACCUGUUCGGGAAUGGCCUUCUUCCGCCUUCAUUAUUUCAAAAUGGGCACCAAGUACCCGGGCCCGGGACAAAAGACACUGGCCCAGGCCUUAGUCCAAUAACCCCGAGUUGGCUCAGGCUCUGGGUUGGAAAGAAGCCAUCAGCACGGGUCAAGGUGAAGGCCCUCAGGGCUGCCUCUUCUCAAAGGUCACGGGAGGCAUUUGGAGUGGAAGGGGAGGGGCUUGGUCUCAAGGCACCAGCGAGGCAGGCGGCCCUCUCCUCCUCCCCGGCACUGAGUGUCAGAGAGGCUGGACAUCACCAGGACCUGUCAGACCAGUUCCCUCAGAUGUGCCUGAGGUCCCAGGCCGCUGCAUGUGAUGGACAGGAAAGACGGCAGGGACACCAUGGCCAGUGCCACACCCACGGCCACCUGCCGGGAAGCACAGCCCAGCCACAGCACCAGGGUGAUGGCAGCAGGACCUGUCCCUCAGGCUACGGGAGCCUUGGUAAAGUGACUACCUGGGCUCUCACAGGGACCCCAAACCCUAAACUGCUACUCUUUUUCACAGGGUUGGGCAGAAGGAGGUUUGCUGUUUUAGAGAAGAGAGCAAACUCCCAGAACAACAGCCAUUGGAAAAACAGCAGCCCAGCCCCCGCCCGCCUGUGGGCACCAUCAGAGAUCCCCACAAUCUUGCCCCUAGCCCUAGAUAUCAGACAGCAUCUCAUGUGUUCCAAAGACGAUUUUCAUCACAUUCCAGCGCUGCCGCGCCGUCCCUGGUAGUCCUUUCUGCAGCUAACCUCAAGCCCUCCUGCUGCACCACAGAUGCUCUGUGAGGUUGAUGGCUUUGCCCUUGAGACUUUUAAUAGGAAAGCGCAAGUGGAGCCUGGAUGACCCCCACCCUGACCCCUUCACCCUGGGGUACACAUGCGCUGUGGGCACUGCUCCCUGAUGGAAGUCUUGCCUGGCUCCAGAGUUUUCCACUGCCAAAGGUGCUCCAGUCAUCCUGGGUUCUCCUGACUCCUCAGAACCCCCCCGCCCCAGUCCCUGCAAGCCUCAGGACAAGCAGUGUCCACAUGACCCUUCAGUCUAGGAUCAAAAAGCAGAAUCAGCCCAGUUCUGCUGUACAGGAAAGAAGCGGUUGCCACGGUGACCCGUCUGGCACACCCAGAUGGGGCUACCUGGGCACCGAGACAGUGGAACAUGUAGCUGCGGUGCGCGCAGCCCACACCCCACGCCUCCCUGACCCAUGCGCACCCCAGAACCCCAGAGCAAGCCACCCCCAGUUGCUGGCCCAGGCGGAGCU
Octodon degus (degu) is the source of this 3828-nucleotide long non-coding RNA. RefSeq lists it as uncharacterized. The transcript has 3 exons. The record is from RefSeq and is a predicted model, not a curated record. NCBI's taxonomy places the organism in Eukaryota, Metazoa, Chordata, Mammalia, Rodentia, Octodontidae.